This 1399-nucleotide ribosomal RNA is filed under the name metagenome. RNAcentral's name for it is "bacterial LSU rRNA". It matches the Rfam family "Bacterial large subunit ribosomal RNA", at positions 1508 to 2925 of the family's 2925-position model. The record is from RNAcentral.
CGGUGCAAGCGAGGUAGGAGUACAGUAGGCAAAUCCGCUGUACAAUCCGAAGACGUGAUGCGGACCGAAUUAAGAGUAGGGAAGUGUGUGAGCCAUGCGUCAAGAAAAGCCGCUAUUGUUUUACUUAAGCCCGUACCGUAAACCGACACAGGUGGAUGAGGAGAGAAUCCUAAGGCCGACGGGAGAAGCAUUGUUAAGGAACUCGGCAAAAUGACUCCGUAACUUCGGGAGAAGGAGUGCCAGCGAGAGCUGGCCGCAGAGAAUUGGCCCAAGCAACUGUUUAGCAAAAACACAGGUCUAUGCAAAACCGUAAGGUGAAGUAUAUGGGCUGACGCCUGCCCGGUGCUGGAAGGUUAAGAGGAGAGGUUAGCAGUAACGCGAAGCUUUGAAUUUAAGCCCCAGUAAACGGCGGCCGUAACUAUAACGGUCCUAAGGUAGCGAAAUUCCUUGUCGGGUAAGUUCCGACCCGCACGAAAGGCGUAAUGAUUUGGGCACUGUCUCAACAAUGCACCCGGUGAAAUUGAAAUACCAGUGAAGAUGCUGGUUACCUGCGCCAGGACGGAAAGACCCCAUGGAGCUUUACUCCAGCUUGAUACUGGGAUUCGGUAUUGCAUGUACAGGAUAGGUGGGAGGCUAGGAAGUGAUAACGCCAGUUGUCACGGAGCCGCUGUUGGGAUACCACCCUUGCAGUAUUGGAUUUCUAACCAGCGACCAUGAACUGGUCGGGGGACAAUGUCAGGUGGGGAGUUUGACUGGGGCGGUCGCCUCCGAAAGGGUAUCGGAGGCGCUCAAAGGUUCCCUCAGAAUGGACGGAAACCAUUCGAAGAGUGCAAAGGCAGAAGGGAGCUUGACUGCGACACCGACGGGUGGAGCAGGUACGAAAGUAGGACUUAGUGAUCCGGUGGUAUAAAGUGGGAUUGCCAUCGCUCAACGGAUAAAAGCUACCCUGGGAUAACAGGCUUAUCACUCCCAAGAGUUCACAUCGACGGAGUGGUUUGGCACCUCGAUGUCGGCUCAUCGCAUCCUGGGGCUGAAGUAGGUCCCAAGGGUUGGGCUGUUCGCCCAUUAAAGCGGUACGCGAGCUGGGUUCAGAACGUCGUGAGACAGUUCGGUCCCUAUCCGGCGUGGGCGUAGGAUAUUUGAGAGGAGCCGUCCUUAGUACGAGAGGACCGGGAUGGACUGGCCGCUGGUGUAUCUGUUGCAUACCAAAUGCAUGGCAGAGUAGCCAAGCCGGGACGGGAUAAACGCUGAAGGCAUCUAAGCGUGAAGCCCCCCUCAAGAUGAGAUAUCCCUACGUAAGUAGUAAGACCCCUUGAAGACGACGAGGUAGAUAGGUCAGAGGUGGAAGUACAGUAAUGUAUGGAGCUGACUGAUACUAAUCGGUCGAGGGCAUGACCAA